Molecule: ribosomal RNA, 491 nt
Filed under: uncultured bacterium
Lineage: Bacteria
Description: partial 16S ribosomal RNA
Rfam family: Bacterial small subunit ribosomal RNA
Source: RNAcentral
AUGAACGCUAGCUACAGGCUUAACACAUUCAAGUCGAGGGGAAACGACAUCGAAAGCUUGCUUUUGAUGGGCGUCGACCGGCGCACGGGUGAGUAACGCGUAUCCAACCUGCCCACCACUUGGGGAUAACCUUGCGAAAGUAAGACUAAUACCCAAUGACGUCUCUAGAAGACAUCUGAAAGAGAUUAAAGAUUUAUCGGUGAUGGAUGGGGAUGCGUCUGAUUAGCUUGUUGGCGGGGUAACGGCCCACCAAGGCGACGAUCAGUAGGGGUUCUGAGAGGAAGGUCCCCCACAUUGGAACUGAGACACGGUCCAAACUCCUACGGGAGGCAGCAGUGAGGAAUAUUGGUCAAUGGACGAGAGUCUGAACCAGCCAAGUAGCGUGCAGGAUGACGGCCCUAUGGGUUGUAAACUGCUUUUAUAAGGGAAUAAAGUGAGUCUCGUGAGACUUUUUGCAUGUACCUUAUGAAUAAGGACCGGCUAAUUCCGUG